This 5345-nucleotide long non-coding RNA is filed under the name Mus caroli (Ryukyu mouse). RNAcentral describes it as "predicted gene 16576 (MGP_CAROLIEiJ_G0005099.1)". Lineage: Eukaryota; Metazoa; Chordata; Mammalia; Rodentia; Muridae. The record is from RNAcentral.
GAGUACGACCGCCAGGCUGUGGGACCCGAGCGUUCCCUCGCGCAUCCGUGCCCACGCGCGCGCGGCGCCGGGGAUCUAAAGGCUUUAGGUGCGGGAACACACAGGGUGUCAUGAAAUUGGCCCCAGGAUAGGGUCCUGACGCGGCCCUGCGCGGGUGGUUUGGACGCUUACCAGCGUCAGCCGUGUCUGCCCAUUUUAAAGACGGGGGAAACAGGAUUUUACUGUCACGGAGAUCCACCUACCCCUCUGCCUCCCAGGUGCUGAGAUUAGAGUGCACCACCAUGUCCAGUCAGAAACCCCAAGUUUGACAGCAGCUUUUCUGUUUUAAAGAAGGCUCCAUCCACAGCCGGUGGCAAGAGAAGGUGUGUUUUGGUUUGCGUCAAAUCGACGUGAUGAAGUUGUCUGCACUAGACACACCAAGAGUCAGGGCUCAGUGGGGUGAGCUGAAGAUUAAACUACCCUUCCCAGCACAGGACUGUGGGAUGGAUUUCCUGGCUGCUGGCUCUCUUCUUGUCCAGGAGGACUGGGAAUUGGGAGCAGAGGAGAUGGCCCUACCUGAUGUCCCCAGCUAAGGCACUCAUGUCUACAAGGCCUGUGGGGUUUGUGGAAGCAGAAUUUACCCAGAUAGCCCAGGACAGCCCCAUUGCAGGCCAAGCCAAGCCGAGAACCCAGUGAGCCUGACAAUGGAUCCUUGGGCCAUCAGAAGCUUCCCAAGCACCACUUUGUCACUCAGUGAUCUCUUGGGACUGACCCUGGAGGGAGAUGCUGAUGUAUUGGAUUUGGUGGCCCUUGUAAUGACCCUCAGGAAGAAGAGAGCAUGUGAUGCCCACAGGGUAGAAGGAGGAAGUAGCUGGUGCUAGGCCAGCCAGGUCACUGGAUCCCCAUGAGUAUGCCUCAGAAGGGGCAGAACUGACACUGUGGGCUCUGAGCUUGAAGUGGAGGCUCAGGCCCUAGCUGACCUGUAGCUCCAGGGAGCCUGGGGGCCAAUCUACUAGGCUUCCAGUGCCUCGCCUCAGUUACCUAUGCAGGGAAGAGUGUGGAGGAAGUGCUUGAUAAAUGUUUGCAGAUGAAGAGCAGAAGUCUGUUUCUGGCUGACUCAAAACCACUGUAUCUUUUUUUCCCUUCUGGCCUGAUGAGCCUGAAGAGGUGGUCAGUGGUUGACUAGCCACUCUGCCCGGAAGUCUCCCGCAGGCACGGAUUACCAUGCUAUGCCCAUGUAUGGCCACCAGAGGUCGCCCCACACCGCCGGCAGCAGAAAGCUGUUGGGUUGGUAGACUCAUAGAAGGGGGACAGGAUGGUUGGGACAGGGCUGAGGAAUUUACCAACAGAGUUCUGGGCUCCUCAGGUGGGCCUACUCCUACUUGACAUCAUGAACUUAUCUUCUGUCGCAGCAGGCCCAGAUGGGUCCGGCUCACCUGGAUGAUGUGAAGGUGGAACUGGGUAGUGCUGGUGCCCCAGCUUAGUAAGUAUGGCUCAGGCCCUGCACUUCUGGAGCUCCAAGCCCUAGAGCCAGGGUUAGUGCCAGGAACAUUGGUCCUAGGGAGAGGGGAGGGAACAAGCUGUGUUGGGUCUUGCAAGCCAGGGUGGAGAGCUGCUGUUAUCAAGACAUAUGGGGAACUUUGGUCUGGGGGUUUACUCCCAGGUCAUCAGGCUCAGGGUACAAAUGAGGGCUUUGGUGAAGAGGUAGCUGUUCUCCAGUGCCUGCAGCAUGGCUUGCAGCCCAGCUCCAUUUUGGGCUGGCAGGGCAGGUUCUUACUGGUCUGGGGCCUGAGUUCUCCAUCCCCAUUCUGUUGCCUUUCUGCCUUUAAGACUCCCUGUCCACCGCUCCAGGGUUUCCCUCCUGCCCAUAACAUGAGUCUCACCCCAUCCAUCAUGGCUCUGCCCAUCCCUUACUCAAAGCAUUUUCGACUGAAAAGCUGGGACCCUCCUCACUUCCCUGGGGCCUGCCAAACCCCUCUAUUCCAAUGAGAUUAUUCGUGUAUACACGAAUAAUCUGGCCCUGGGGCCAGUGCUUCCUUGGAGGUCUCCCUUCCUCCAUGUUCCCUGGCACCUCCGCCCAGGAGCUUACUGUUCACACUAGCUGGGUUUACAGUCAAGGCUCUGGCUGCUUCGGGAUAGGAGUGGCCCACACCAACCAUUCCAGGACCCAGCAGCACAUGUGGCUUUUAGCAAGGUGAGAUGGGAGGAAGAAGGAAGAGUGUGGGGGAGACCACAGGGGGGUCCAGAGAGCCUGGAGAAGCAGCUGUGGUUCUGUUCUGAACAUUGGAUUCACUCAGAUAAGAGGCAGAGAGAUGGUCUCUGGUCAGGCACAGGCUCACCCCAGCCUGCCUGCUGGGCUGACUCUGUUGCUAGGAAUCCUGGUCAACCUCACGGAUGCUGACCCAUCAGACAUGAGAUGCACAGAGCAGGCUGUGCAUCCCAUCCUGCGAAGGAACAGCACUGUGUGUUUAACGUUCCAGGUUCCUCUAUGGUUGAUCUGUGAGUUCAGGGACCCCCUCCCCCAUGCCUCAAACAGCUAAGUGUUGAAUGACAGCGGUGUCCACAGCCUUAAGCUUGGUAAGGGACCCAUACAAAACAGAAGGUUCCUCUGCUUCUCCAAGUCCUCAAAGCCAGAAGAUUCUGUCCUCAGUGUGGUCAAGGAAGACUGGAGAAGUUUCACACAGGGCUCCUGCUGGGACUGUAAGCCUGUACUUCUGUCCAGCACCCCUAGUUCUGCCAGCUGUCCUUCCGGAGUCCCCUUUAGAGUCCUGUACCCAGACCACCCACCCAUCUACACCUCCAUCUUUCAUCCCUCAAUCCCCCAUCCUUCCAUCCACUCAUCCCUUUAUCUAUCCAUCCAUCCCUCCAUUCUUCUCACACACUUAUCUGUCCAUCUGUCCUUCCAUCCACCCAUCCCUCCACCUGUCUAGCCACCCACUAUCAUUCUUUUACUCACUUGCUCAUUAGUUACAAUACAUAUUGUUAGUUAGUUAGUUAGUUAGGUUUUUCAAGACACUGUGGCUGCCAGUCCUGAAACACUCUCUGUAGACCAGGCUAGCCUAGAACUUAAAGAUCUGCCUGCCUCUGCCUCCCAAAUGCAGGGAUCAAAGGCCUGGCUACAUGUUUAUUUGUUAGUGACAGGGAGGGACUAGUGCUUUAGUCCAGGCUGCCCUGGAAAUCACUAUGUAGCCUAGGCUGGCCUUAAAUUCCUGACAGUCCUGCUUGAGCUUCCUAAGUGCUGGCAUAUGUGUGAGGAAGUGCACGUGGCUUGCACAUGCAUUGUGUAUGUGGCACCCUGCGCCAGGCACUGGGGAUGCACAGAGCACACAGUCCGAGCCCUCCUCAGUUACAGAGUAACUAAGGAGCAGCAGAUGCACGUGCCAUGGUGGAAGAACACAAGGCACAGGAGGACACAGAAUCACUGGGCAGGUGUCAGUAUUGCAGGGGACAGGUAGAGUGGGGCCUGUCAGACUCUUUCUGUAUCCCUGAGCCACUAGCUCACAGUGAGAGCCUCACCUCCAGCCUGCUCCACUCCGGUGUGUCACAAGAUGUCCGCGAGUUAUUUCCUCCACGAUGCUAAGGUUCUCAUGCAGUCUCCCUGGCCUGUUACACGAGGCUGUUCUAAGGCUAGGACACAUAGCUGGGGGUACUGCUUGGUCAGUAGCAAAACCCCUACAUGGGUAUGCAUGUUCUGGGGGCAUCUGUCUCAGCUCAAGAUGAAAGGUCAGGGUCUGAUCCGAGCUCCCUGUGGUCUCUGUCACUGGUCAGGGGUGUGCAUUGGCCACCCUGCCUUUUCCUGAUUUAGUUUUGUAGAACUUAGGUGGUAAUGGAGGAAUGGAGCCUGAGGCUCCACACCGGCCCUGACCCAAAUCCAUGAGCCCUAGCAAUGUGGACAUCCUUAAACAUUCAUGGCCACCUCUUCCUGGCUCCCAUAGUCUUCCUGAGGCAGGAGGAUGAUCCCUGUUCUACAAAUGAGGUCACAGAGGUGCAGGGAGCUUGUUCCAGCUGGCAGCAGCCACCUGAGCAGUUUUGAGCUGGGCUCUGGGGUCCCAGGCUGACUACCUGAAUCCUGCUCUGCCUGAUAAGCACUGGGCCUGACUCCUCACCUGUAAGAGAGAGGCAAGCGAAGGCAGCAGCAUCCCAGAAUGGACAGAAGGGCCAACCCGACCCAGGGGACAGAAUGCUCAGCACGGAGUCCAGCGCAUCCCGGCUCCAAGAGUCUAGAAGUCUUAUUAAUAAUAAUACAAACCUUCUGCCCUGUGGCUCGCUCUCACCCCACCCCCACCAUCUUUCUAAGGAUUGAAGACAGCAGCUGGCAGUGGGAGGUGGUUUCUUUAAAUACAGGAUGAGGAGAACAAAGGAAAAAUAGAACAGGGGGGUGGUUUGUGGCCUACGCCAACUAUCCCCCUCCAAACGUGGGGGGGCCCUAGGGUCCCAAGCCACCAACCAGCCUCCCCCAGCCUCUGUGUGUCCCCAAGGCUCUUGAGGAAGUGAGGGGUGCUGUGCAUUAGGCUUGCCUGCUGGGACAGGACAGUCCUGGUUUGGACCAGGAUGCCACCACGGGAGGAGACACUUCCUGCCUGGCUAUAAGGUUGGCCCCUGAGAAGCAGGAAGUAGGUUGAGCUCCUGGGGUUUCUCUGCCUACUUCCAAGACAACAUGGAGUAUUUACUAGAAGGUUCUCUGUAGGCCCCUUGAACUUCAAAGGCUAUACCCCUCUAGCUGCCUACUCUCCUUGGUUGCCAUGGAUCCUGUGACCAAGUCCUUGCCAUCUGCUUCUUUAGGCCAGUCCCUUAGAGCCCUCCACUCUCCUGAGAACCUGUGCCUCUUGGUCUUUGUGGUGCCCAUGGGGUACUAGAUGCCAUUCUCUGAGAUGGCUGGUACUGUCACUGCUCCUCCAGGAAGGGUACUGGCACUGGGCUUCGAACUGUGUGUGACUCAGAGGGGACCGAGGUGUUCCCUGCACCACAGACGACGUCGGAGAACUACAACGCAGGUGGAUGUGCCUUCUCUGAGGGCAGAAGUAGCUAAGCAAUAGGUGAGCCAGGACCAUGCCUGGAAUGUGGAGCCCCUCAGGACAGAGGUAAACAGAAGCGCUGAGAAUGAGCAGGAGCCAGGAGGACCCUGAACCUGGCAGCCUAGGCCUGGUCCUGGCUGGAAUUGCAUCCUGGCUAGAUCUUGGGCUAACUAGUCACUCUCUGAGCUUUAGUUCCUCUACUUGUAGAUGAGGGAAGGCAAUUCUUGAUUCAAAGGUCUACUGAGGAUUACAUGACAUGUCACAAGGGAGGAAGCCCAGGGGCUGUCAAAUGCAAGACUUUCACAGAGGAAGAACUUUCCCCCAGAAAAUGCUAAGGCCCAGUUGGGUGCG